RNAcentral lists this ribosomal RNA (448 nucleotides) under uncultured bacterium. RNAcentral's name for it is "partial 16S ribosomal RNA". It matches the Rfam family "Bacterial small subunit ribosomal RNA", at positions 328 to 793 of the family's 1533-position model. The record is from RNAcentral.
UUCCCAGACUCCUACGGGAGGCAGCAGUGGGGGAUAUUGCACAAUGGGGGGAACCCUGAUGCAGCGACGCCGCGUGGGUGAAGGAGCACCUCGGUGCGUAAAGCCCUAUCGGCAGGGAAGAAACAGACGGUACCUGACUAAGAAGCCCCGGCUAACUACGUGCCAGCAGCCGCGGUAAUACGUAGGGGGCAAGCGUUAUCCGGAUUUACUGGGUGUAAAGGGGGCGCAGACGGCGAUGCAAGCCAGGAGUGAAAGCCCAUGGCCCGACCGUGGGACUGCUCUGGAAACUGUGCGGCUUGAGUGCGGGAGGGGCAGGCGGAAUUCCUAGUGUAGCGGUGAAAUGCGUAGAUAUUAGGAGGAACACCGGCGGCGAAGGCGGCCUGCUGGACCGUAACUGACGUUGAGGCUCGAAAGCGUGGGGAGCAAACAGGAUUAGAUACCCGUGUAC